This 288-nucleotide ribosomal RNA is filed under the name Salmonella enterica subsp. enterica serovar Derby. Its description in RNAcentral is "partial 23S ribosomal RNA". It matches the Rfam family "Bacterial large subunit ribosomal RNA", at positions 528 to 816 of the family's 2925-position model. The record is from RNAcentral. RNAcentral also lists the same sequence under 1 other name. Lineage: Bacteria; Pseudomonadati; Pseudomonadota; Gammaproteobacteria; Enterobacterales; Enterobacteriaceae.
GGCGAGGGGAGUGAAAAAGAACCUGAAACCGUGUACGUACAAGCAGUGGGAGCACAGGUUUACCUGUGUGACUGCGUACCUUUUGUAUAAUGGGUCAGCGACUUAUAUUCUGUAGCAAGGUUAACCGUAUAGGGGAGCCGCAGGGAAACCGAGUCUUAACCGGGCGUUAAGUUGCAGGGUAUAGACCCGAAACCCGGUGAUCUAGCCAUGGGCAGGUUGAAGGUUGGGUAACACUAACUGGAGGACCGAACCGACUAAUGUUGAAAAAUUAGCGGAUGACCUGUGGCU